This is a long non-coding RNA of Chelonia mydas (Green sea turtle), 3443 nucleotides long. RefSeq lists it as uncharacterized. The transcript is spliced from 2 exons. The record is from RefSeq and is a predicted model, not a curated record. Lineage: Eukaryota; Metazoa; Chordata; Testudines; Cheloniidae.
UUUCAGACUCUGUAUCCAGAAGGUCUACACCUAAAAUUUUGUUUUGAAAACUGAGAUUCUCCUGUAAGAACUCAACUCCAGGCAUUGGAGCUUUAAGAAAAACACCAUAUAUCAUGGGCCUUGUGAUAAAAGCAUGGUAGUUGGCAAAACCUCAGUUCAUUCACGAAAGAAGGCCUGACUGUGUUCAACUGUAUAAACUUAUAGCUCAGUGAGUAGUCACUCCCACAUUUAAAACAUGCUACCUAUCCUUACAAUCCCCUCUAUGCAAUAAAGGUGAGAAAGCAAAGGGAAGUGUCUUUUAAUAUCUGAAUAGAGGACAGAGGUUGGACACAUUCACAGAUUCUAAAAAGUAAGUUCUGGUAUUUACAAGAGAAACGGGCAGAAAACAUUUAAAGUAUCAGAUUUUAAACCAAGGUAGGAUUAAUACCAAAAAAUCUAUUAUUUUAUUCCUAAAGCAGUUUAAUUAAAUUGCAAAGGAAAGACCUGUUUGUUCAACUACCUUAGCUAGAUAAUUACAAGUAAAUAUAUAUUUGCUGAGGGUAAGAUUGCCCUUGACACCAAUAAGCUUUGAUUCAGGCCCUAGAAGAGCUGACUUAUGCUGCCUAUAUCCUGCAUUACCACUGAUUCUACCUUCAUGCCUUUAAUCCUGUGUGAUUUAUAAAGGUUGUAAUAAAAAAAUUGUAUUUUAAAAUCAGGGAUGUCUGCCAUAACAUUUGACAUGUUUUAUAAUUAAUUUUAAAAGGGGGGCAGGGAUUGUUCAUACGUAUGUUCAGUUCUAGUUAAUGUACUUUUUUAAACCAAACUUUCCCUGAUUUUGUCCCACUUGCUUUUUUUUUUUUUGUUACUAUCCACAGCUUAGUAAGUAUUCCGCAGCCCCUAUUUUAAAAUGACAGUAUUGUACAGAACUAGUCCCAAGCCUCUUAGCAGCAAAUGUAAGCUGUCAUUUUUGGAAAUCAUAAAUAGUGCCAUCCUAAACAUAGGGAAAUAUGCCCUCUCGAUAAGGUGGCUGAGUUGAUAAUAGUACAGUAAAAAUUCCUGAUCCUCCAGUCGGCAUAUCUUGCACCCUCCACCAGAAUAUGCUGGCAAUUUUGAAAGUCACCACACAAUUAAAACUAGUGCAGUGCUUCAGACCAUAUUUUGACUUUCAUGCUGCAUGUUUGCUGUACAUGGUGCUUGGAAUAUCUCCAAAACUUUCUGUCCCUGCUCUUACAAAGUUGGCUUGUACUUGUACCUAGAGAGCAAGGUAAUUAAAACCAUGCAAUCUGUUGUUCACAUACCUGAAAUUCACUGGCUAUCAAUAAGUACCAGUAUAAUAAUGUUUCCACCAACCAACCAUGGCAUCAGGAUAAUGAUGAUGAGGAUGAUUACCUGCACUGAUGUCCUCUGACUGACCUGGGGAAAGCAUAAGAAUUAUCAGAGGCUGCUUACUAGCCUUUAAUUUUAUGUCACAUAGAGCAAUACUAGCUGACCCUGACACUCUGAGAACAGGUGUAGGAUAAAAAGUGCUAAAAUGUAAUCAGGCUAGGAAAGGAACCUCCUCCAUUUGGUAUUACAUCCAGUUUCAGUUACCUAAGAAAAGUCCUGUUCCAUCCAGAACAUAACACUUUUUGAAUUACAAAAUGAUGGGGUGUAUGCCACACACUAGCCCCAAGAGGGCUGAAUUAUGUCAAGUGGGCCCAAUCAGCCAAUUAGGCUGCCAAUGGGAGAGAGCUAAGCUGCAGGAAGCUAAUUAGAAGAAGGUUCACCUGUGAGGGAGCAGGUGGGGUUUCUAUAAAGCAAGGAGGCAGGCGCCAAACAGGAAACUUACAGUUUUUCUUUCUGAGGUAAGGGAGAAGAAGUCUAGUAAGAUAGAAUCCAGGGACAAAAGCAGUAAGUGUUGAAGAUGUAGACUUUAAUUAUUGCCUAUAAGGCCCUGGACUGGAACCCAGAGUAGAGGGUGGACCCUGAUUGCCCCUAAUGACCAUGGCAGAAUGGUACUGUUUGAGGGUAGUGGACAAGAAGACUACCUGGAGAAAUGCUGAAAAAUUAUUUCAGAAGAGGAACUUCCUUAAUGACCUGGGCAGAGGGCUAAGUCAUGAAGAGUGAGCAGCAGUUCCUGGAGCAAGAGAGGGAUUGCAGGCAAAGAUGGAGAGAGUGAUGGAGCACAGCUGAAGGAAGGGGCAUUGACCAUGCAGAGCUAGUCCCCAGAAAGACCAGAAGAAAACACCACUUCUGGGAAGCUGGGUCACAAUCCUGGUGGAUGGGUCUUGCAAGAAGGCACGAAUGGGAUGUCCUGUAGAACACCUUGGGGGCUGCAGAAAGAGAUGUAGGUGGAACUCCUCUUCUGACCCGCUAUUCAGACCUCUACCCCAGCACUGUGAUAGAGGGAACUGUACUGUUUUAGAUGCUGUUUGUCUGGUGAGACUUGAGGCCUGACUACUUGUGGCCGUUUAAGUUCCCUUCUGCAAAAAUAGGGCCAAAAAUUAAUUUGGCGAACUACCCUUGCAGCGUAAGGGCUUAUCUAUCUGGUGCAUUAGUCUACACUAAAGGGUAUAAAUUCUCAUACACAUUAGCGUGUCUUGUCCUAACUGACCUUUAUGGACCGUGCUGGCCUGCACUAAAGAUUCCCUAGUGUGUAUUAAUGUGGAACAGUUUGAAACCUCACUAGUGCAGACUACAGCACCAUGUAGACUAGCCCAGAGGAUAUAGUAUUCCUUUUACUUCAGUAAUCUUUCUUUUCCUUCUUCAAUAAUAAACUCUUCACACACACACUCACAAACAUAAGCAAAUGAAUCAAGCAAUUUCUUCUACAGGCUGGAAAGGAAGAAAUGGAGGGGAGGGGUGGUCCUGUUUCUAUUUUUAAAUACUUUAGAGACAUUCAGAUGCCACAGUGAUGGAGACCAGACAAAUACCUAGAUAUAAAAUAUUACAUAUUAAGUACAUCUGGUCUCUCUCUUAUCUCAAGGGUUAUAGUAACAGUUCCCAGUGCGAACAGCAGCUAUCAAAACAACAGGCAUAUUUUCCUGGAAUUGAUUACAUGAAAUAUUAAUCUAGGUAAUGUCUCAUCCAUAUGUUGUCCUCUGUCAUAGAACUUCUGCUGUAGGGUACUGCUGUUCUGCAUGUAGAUUGUGGUUAGCUUAUGUGAAACCUGACAGACAAAAAGACUAUGGGCAGGGAGGACUCGUCGUCAAAUGCUGGUAAUGUUUGAUUUCUUCAGAAUGCACACCCAUAAUCAUCAUUCACCACUCCAUAGCAGAAUAGUAUUCUGAACAAUUUAGCUUUCUUAUGAGCCCAUAAUGCCCCACUGCAUCAUAUGCAGCACUUAAAGCUGGCAGCCCAUGCUUUUCCUGUCUUUAAAGGCAUCUUCAUUGUUUUGCUAAGAGGUGGAUUGCCUUAAUCAUAAGCUAUUGACAACAAGAAAAUUUGCCGGCUUAUAAAGAUUUUGCCGGCUUUAUAAAACUGGG